AAUAAUAAUGCAGUUAGAAGUCUGCUAGUCUGUGUGUCAGGGUUUCAGAAGACAGUAGAGUCUGUAUAUACUGAAUUUUGCUCAUACUAAUGGAGGUGAUUAUACUCAGCAUUUAGGCAUGAACUGAAUGAAGGUGCUCCAAAGGAAACCAGGAGAGAUCAAAUGUUCUUUCAGUAACUCUCUGACAUAAACCAUCUUAUUCUUGCCUUAGAGUCAGAAUAAUUCAGCUGUCUACUCAUUUCAUCUACAUAUUUUAAGUUUUCCCAAGGCUUGGUUUAAGUGCAUGCUGGGUGACACUGGACAUCUGAUGUGACUCCUUAGCACUGUGGGCUUCCAUCCCACAGGCAGAAUUUAAUAAGGACUGCAUACAGUAUUGUACGUAACAUUUCAUUCAUGCAAAAAAUACUCCAAUUUUCUGCCUUACAUGGUACAAACUGUUUUGAGGAACCUGGGUCUAUUUGCUGAAAAUGCUUUUGAGCCAGCAUAAAUGUUUAUCCAAGUUACCUGCCCAAUUUGUGAGCAAAAAAUGAUAUUUUCUGAGGUGCAUUUUUAAUUUUUAUGUGGUUUGGAAUGGACUGGUAUCAUGGGUAAAAUGGUACUGUAUUUCUUCAGAUUUACAGGAACUUGAUAUUCUAUAUCACUGCUCUGGUUUCUAUAGGUAAUUGUAACAACAAUUCAGUCUGUGAGUGACUUCAAAUUAAGGAAUCUGACAUUAAUUUGACUCCUGUUGCAUAGUUUUCCAGUGUUUGAGACGCUGAUAUUAGAAUUACACAGCUUUGAGCUGUUUCCCUUCCCUUCUCUCAUGAUCAGAAAUUCAAAGAAUUUUACCAUGGCAUUCAAAUGAAUGUUACACUGAGGUGAGGGCCUAAGAAGUAGACCUGUGCUGUCAGGAUAUAUGUAUACGGGAAAGAGGAAUUCAAGUAAAUAAUGUUGUAGCUGAGAUAAUCAAACGUUUAUUCCACCUCCUGAAUUUAUCUUAUGAUUAUCAGAUUUUCCCAGUUCUUAAGACCUAGAAAAGGUACACCAUACGGCCAAUUAGUAAUUUACUAAUUUACCUGGAGAUAGUUUUGAGCUAUUAUCAGCUUCUCGUGACUUCUCAGAAUACAAGAAAGUGAUAUUUCAAGCAUUUAUUCCUUUCCCAUAUUUCCAUCAUUCAUAUGUUGAAUUUCUUUUCUUUCCUUUUAUUCUCCAGUUCCUCGACCCCAGUUCAGUGUUGGUUAGCUAUCCAACAUCUGUUUAACUUCCCCACAAACAGCAGUCAUGAGCACUACUCAUAUGUGACUUAGAUGAAGGAUGUGGACCUCUCGCAGAUGUGAGGUUGAUAAUCAUAUGGAAGUUUUCAGAAGAUGAAUUAUACUCAAAUACCAUUGUCCAUUUACUUAAUCACUAAUUUGUCUCUGCUAGACUCCAUUUUCCUAAAGCUCUCAACUGACCUUUAAUAAGUAUACAACUAUUAUCAAUAAUUUUCAUUUUUGUGGCAAUGUAUGGUACUUUUUUCCCCCCAGUAAAAAAUACUUAACUGCUCCCUGCAUUAUCAAAUGGUAUUCAAACUAGCUGAGUGAGAGUUAGAAGUCUGUCGUCUCAUGUUCCAGACAGAUUUUCACCAUGGUGGAGGUUUUUUUUUUUAUAGUUUAGAAUGGUCUUAGGUACAUGGACAUUAAAUAUUAUCUAUCUGGAUAUAUAACACCAGAAAGAUGUGAAAAUAUUGACUUUUUUGUAUGUAAAUGUAAGUUUAUGUGUAAAUCAUAGAAUCAUAGAAUCACAGAAUGGCCUGGGUUGAAAAGGACCACAAUGAUCAUCUAGUUUCAACUCCCCUGCCAUGUGCAGGGUCGCCAACCACCAGACCAGGCUGCCCAGAGCCACAUCCAGCCUGGCCUUGAAUGCCUCCAGGGAUGGGGCAUCCACAGCCUCCUUGGGCAACCUGUUCCAGUGCGUCACCACUCUCUGUGUGAAAAACUUCCUCCUAAUAUCUAACCUAAACCUCCCCUGUCUUUUUCUUAAAAUGUUAUGUAUUUGAACUUACUGACUGAAAUAUAUUUUGUAAAAAACACUGGAUUAAACAUAGUUUUAAUUUUUAGAAAGGCUUUCAUAAAAUGUAAAAAACAUAGUUUCGAUAGAUUAAUAAAAAAAUGAUAAAAAUAGGUGUCUGGAAGCACCUGCUCACUAGAGACAAUUUACUAGAGAGGUAGAAACAGCUUAUAAACUACGAAAAAAUAACAAUAAUUAAAGGAGCUAAAAGAAUCGGGUUCUAAUUAUUUCAUAUUUAUUUUUUCUAUUUUAUGCAUUAUUUAAAUGUCUGUCUAGUUAAUCAGAAAAUUUAAAAGAUAUAAAAGAAACCAGGAAAACAGAGCAGAGAAGAUGGGCAAAAAAAGCAAUGUAACAGUGAUUUGGCUGUGAAAUUUUUGAUUUACAAGUUCUUUGGGAUGGCUUAUAAGCUGCCUCUUAACUAAGAGAUAAUAUAACACCACUUUGAUUUUUACUUCUUGAGAGGGUGAAGUUUCCUAUGAAAAGAGAGGGAGAAGCUCCUUUUUGUUUAAAAUUUUUGUGCUUGUUGUUGCCACGAUGAACGAUAUGUUGGCAUGAGAACAUCUUGUUUAGCAUUUACAAAUUUCCCAUGCUGUGUUUCCACUAGACUGCAAAAUAUCUUGGUAUAAGCCCUUCUAUGUAAGAGAAUAGAAUAAGUAAGAUUGUGAUGCGCACACAACUUCUGCUGUUGUAGGAGUGACUAUAUAAUAUUAUUUAAUUACCUUUUGUCAUGUUAACUGAAGCAGUCAGAAAAGGCAGUGAACUCCUGCACACAAAGGUGUGCACACCCUGGUGCCUGAGGCUGUUCACCUAUUGCUUGAGAUUCUCUCAGGUGCUCAGAUAAAAUAGACUGUGUCUCCCUGAAACCUGGGCUGUCCUCAUGUAAUGCAGGGUGGAGAUGUAGCCACUACUGCCUCUGUGCUGGGAACUGGACAAGGUGGCUUCUCAAGUUCCCUUCUGACAGAUUCUUCAGGCUCUGAGCUACAUUGAGGUGAGCUUCUAUCAUACCAGACCACCAUGGCACCUUCUGAACAGCUAUACAGUGUCUGAAAGUAGUUGAAUUCUCUGAUACUGCUGACAAACACUGUCUCUGUUUUGCUGUCAGGAAGAGCUAUACAUGAAUUGCUGUGCAAUACCUCUUGUCUACUGUGGAUCCAUUAUAGCUUACAGACUUGUAAGAGGAUCACUUAGACUUAACAGGAACUGUUAAUACACUUAAACACACUUAUCAGUUUGCUUGAUUUUUCUGUUAAAUCCUCUGCUUUAGUCAGGUGAAGAUUAUGAGUAUUAUUGUUGGAAUUAGCUAAACUUUUACUGGAUCAGAAUUUGAUCCCUAUGCAUGUUUGAGGCUCACAGUUACAAACAGCAUUUUGUAAGUCAACCUGCUCUCACUGACUAAAAUGAGAAAAGAGCAGAUAAGGAACUUCAAGCAACAGACUUUCUCUAAUCUGAUCUAGUUUGUGUAUAAUUUGAUUUUAUUCUGACUCAAAGAAAAGAUGAUUUAAAAAUAUAUAUCUUUACAGAAACCAGAUCAGCUCCUUUCUGUCUUGAAGACUAUGCAUUUAAAUAAUUUAAUUGCCUGAAAGCUGCAAAUGUAGGUCCCUUGAUGUUCUCAGUAUGAAAGAUGGGGAAGCAGGAAAGGAGAAAAAGAACCAUGAGAUAUACCUCCCUACAGGGGCCACUGUCACCGACUGAGUAUCUCUGACUACUGAGGAUACCCUAGAUUUUGAAGACUUACUUAGUCUUAUCAAGACUAUUGCAGUGUAUUUGGAUCCUUAACUAGCUGUUUCAGCAGGAGCCCUAAAAAACUUCAGUCCAGGUCUACCCUGAGGUUUUUCCUCAGGGUCCUUGCAACCUUGGAGGAUGCACUUUUGCCCAUCUAAGCAGGAUUUGGAUGCAUGAAACCCAGGCUACUACAAUCUUGGGGAACAGAAUGAGUGCUUAACCACACAAAAUUUAAGGAAAAAUCACACCACAUGGUGGUUAUUGUUAAUGUCUUUUGGCGCUGUCUGUACUUCAUGAAGUGUCUCUAGAAAGGUGACCAGGACUUUUUUUUUUAGAGAGGAUAGUAAAUGCAGGCUUAAUCUGGGUGAGGCAAUAGCAAAUAAGCAGUGAGGGUGCCCAGAAACUUUGGUGAUUUAGUAGAGUAGGUGUGCCAUGAGAAUUUAGCAAGUUCUAGUGCUAUGCACAAAGGUUCCCCCUGAACUGUGUGGCUGCGAGACACUCUGGGUUUGUGGGAUAUUUAAUUUUACUGCAAGCAAGAUAUCUGGGAUGGAGUUAAACUUUAACAUGAGUAUACUGCUUCUCAUAUCAGAAUGAUGCCACAUUCUAAUUGUUUGUUAUUGCUGGAGUCUUUGCUUCAUAGUUCUUGGAAGGGAUUAGUCACGGCACCAAGAUCCCUUCUUGCUGUCUUAAGCACUAUUGUGUCUUUUAUACAGGUUAUGACCUACAGCAUUCACAGUUGAAUCUUCCCUUGACUAAGACAUAUUUCCUCCCCUAGGACUUUCAUCCAGCUUUUUAAAUAGCAUAUCUCUUUGUAUAUUCCUACUGUUUGUGUUACAACUGUAUCUGGCUAAUAAACAAGAGACAAACAUAUAUUACAUUCUUUCUACUAUCCAUCCCCAAUUUCUAUCUUUUUCAUUGUUCGUACAACCCUUCAAAUUUUGUUUUGAUGAAAAAAAAUAAUGAAUCAGAAAAUACACACAACCUGACAGAAGUUCAGGUUUCCCUUUUGUCUAGAUUUUAAGUCCUCUGCAAAAGACACUUUGGUAAGGAUAAGCAGAAAAGUAGAAAGCCAAGGACUUUGCAGCCAUGUACUGUGAUUUCUGAUUUCUAAAAUUCCUACAGUGUAAUUUCAGCCUUGUGGCACUACAGUCUUUGACUUCUACUGACCUUUACGAGAGACUUGCUAUACAGUUGUUACAAUUUUUCUGUCAGGACAGAUCUUCUUUUGUUUUCUGCCACAAUAUAUAGAAAGUGGAAUGGGAAAACAAUCUUGAAUUGAACAAUUUUUUUCAAGAAAUUGAAUAAUUUCUUGAAAAAAAUUCCAUUUCUCAAAAAGUAUUUGGCAUCUUGUUUUCUGACUGAUGCAAGUACUGAAGCUGUAUUAUCCAACUUCUCACCAGUACCUCAGUUUUCCUGCCAGAGCUAUAACUGGGGCUGUAUUUUGACAAAAUCUCCAAACAGGCAGAUCUCUGCACUUGUAGAGUGUCCUCAGAGAACUCAGAUGUUGGUGCCUGAACAUGUGUUAAAUAAUGCUGCUUGUAACAGUUAUAGACCUGUACAGAAAUGUGUAAUAUGAAUCUUUUUGAGUUAGGUAUUUGAUGCAUAGAUUAAUGAAGUGAACUGCUUUAUGCAUCAAAAAGUCUAGAAUUAUACAUUAAGAGAUAUUGUGUUUUUAAUAGUUUGCCUUUUCUUCUCUCAAGGAUGGGAGGUGAUUUCUCAAGGUUCUUGAUGCAUUCCUCUUCUCCACCAUCCUCAGCUACUACAAUUGCUAUUGACUGAAAUGUUGACCUUUAUUUUACAUGUAUAAUGAAAAAUACCAAAGCUAUAAUCUUUUCCAUUGAAGCAGAGUAACCGUUUUUCAACAGAAGGAAGAGUGCCACUCUUGGGCUCCGUCACAAAGGCAUCUUCAAGACCACUUUGCUCAGUACUUGUUUGCUUCCUAAUAUGUGUUAAGA
RNAcentral lists this long non-coding RNA (5705 nucleotides) under Gallus gallus (chicken). The record is from RNAcentral. Lineage: Eukaryota; Metazoa; Chordata; Aves; Galliformes; Phasianidae.